Non-coding RNA from Musa acuminata subsp. malaccensis (wild Malaysian banana), 1229 nucleotides. NCBI's taxonomy places the organism in Eukaryota, Viridiplantae, Streptophyta, Magnoliopsida, Zingiberales, Musaceae. The record is from RefSeq and is a predicted model, not a curated record.
GGCGGAAAUCUCAAAUCUCUCUCUCUCUCUCUCUCUUUCUGUCACGCGCACACACACACGCAACUCAAUCAAUCGUUUCGGAAGGAGUUCGAGGUUCCGCCCCUCUUUUAGAGAUUAGGGUUCUUCGUCGGCGAAUAAUUUACCACGCUAACGAUUGUGUACAGAUUUAUUGGUCUUCAAUUCCAGAAUUGCCAGGCCCUACAGAGGAUGAGCAUGCUAGUUUGCUAGAGCGCAACUGGUAUUCAUUGGCGUACCAUGUCCAUUGCUAAGUUGGAGAUUUAUAGUAUGGGGUUUUUCAUCAUCCAUAUUGCCAUCAAGAAGGUUCAUUGAUUCACAUGUUUGUCAACUAUAACAGUCCAUCUAGCUAAGCUUACAUUUCGGAGUAAUCAUUGGAAAAUGAUUCUGAGAUCUGUUUGACUUGUAUCUGACUUUGUGGCUAGUUAGACUUGUCAAUUCAUCAGUACAAUAGGCACAGUCAGUCUCUUGGUUGAUGAACCAGAUGAUGUAUUCUCUUCGAUAUUAAGAAUGCAAAAGCAAGAUGUUGAUAGAAGUUAGCGACCUAAACGUUUGGUAGCUUUUGAUGGUUCGGUGUUGUACGAUCAUUCAAGCAGGAUGUCGUUGGAUGCUGGAUGAGGUGGAGGCCAAUGUCAAACAGCGAGGAUCUGUUUGGUUUUUUCGUUUCCUCCACUUCUUGCAACUACAAAAAAUUACCUGCUGGUGGAGAAACAAGUUUGCAUAAAGGUGUUGGGGACAUCAGGAAUUCUUUGAAAGAAGUCUGCGGUUGAUGCGAUCCAUGGAGUUGGUUCACCAGCCUAUUUUAUCGACACAAGUUUGAGGUAAGAAAUUGUGUUUGUUGUGAUUGUAGGUAGCAGGCAUUAAGCUUGGCUCAUCAUUGCCAUGAUCUUUGAGAAGUAAUAUGGAGGAGAAAUGGUUGUUGCUUGCUCCCGUUGAUAAGUUCUACAGAAAUCGUCAUCUAAAUCAAAUCAUACAAGGGAAAGAGUGAGUAUUUUCUAUAGGAGGCUAUUGACUGGUUCAUGCGUAUUUGGGGUUGAUGUAGCAGCUGGUGUUUGCUGUCGAGGCGAAAAUGUUGAUCAGGUGAGCUCUCUCCUAUUGAAUUUUGCUGCCUUUUUUUUUUGUCAAAAUUCGGAACAAGUCGAAGUGACAAUUAUUCCAUUCAAAAUCUUUAUCAUCGUAUCAGAUUAUAUAUUUGAAUUCUAUAUUUAUCUUCA